RNAcentral lists this unclassified non-coding RNA (71 nucleotides) under soil metagenome. RNAcentral describes it as "partial internal transcribed spacer 1". The record is from RNAcentral.
GAAAUUUUUUUUGUAUUCAAAAUUUCAAUCUAUAUAAAGUUUUAAUUUUUAUUUAUAUAAAAUAAAAAAGA